CCUACGGGAGGCAGCAGUAAGGAAUAUUAGACAAUGGCCGAAAGGCUGAUCCAGCCAUCCAGCGUGCAGGAAGAAGGCCCUAUGGGUUGUAAACUGCUUUUAUCAGGGAAUAAACCUCUGGAUUCACUCCGGAGCUGAAGGUACCUGAAGAAUAAGCACCGGCUAACUCCGUGCCAGCAGCCGCGGUAAUACGGAGGGUGCGAGCGUUAUCCGGAAUUACUGGGUUUAAAGGGUGCGUAGGCGGCUUUGUAAGUCAGGAGUGAAAGUUUGCGGCUCAACCGUAAAAUUGCUUCUGAUACUGCAUGGCUAGAAUUAGGAUGAGGUCAGCGGAAUGUGGCAUGUAGCGGUGAAAUGCAUAGAUAUGCCAUAGAACACCAAUUAAAGAAGGCAGCUGGCUAGACCUGGAUUGACGCUGAGGCACGAAAGCGUGGGGAGCGAACAGGAUUAGAUACCCUGGUAGUCCACGCCCUAAACGAUGCUUACUCGACGUAUGGCACUAGUUGUUGUGCGUCAAGGGAAACCGUUAAGUAAGCCACCUGGGGAGUACGACCGCAAAGGUUGAAAACUCAAAGGAAUUGACGG
This 582-nucleotide ribosomal RNA is filed under the name uncultured bacterium. RNAcentral describes it as "bacterial SSU rRNA". It matches the Rfam family "Bacterial small subunit ribosomal RNA", at positions 338 to 916 of the family's 1533-position model. The record is from RNAcentral.